UAGGGAAUCUUCCACAAUGGGCGAAAGCCUGAUGGAGCAACGCCGCGUGUGUGUUGAAGGGUUUCGGCUCGUAAAACACUGUUGUAAGAGAAGAAUGACAUUGAGAGUAACUGUUCAAUGUGUGACGGUAUCUUACCAGAAAGGAACGGCUAAAUACGUGCCAG
This 164-nucleotide ribosomal RNA is filed under the name uncultured bacterium. RNAcentral describes it as "partial 16S rRNA". It matches the Rfam family "Bacterial small subunit ribosomal RNA", at positions 355 to 511 of the family's 1533-position model. The record is from RNAcentral.